Long non-coding RNA from Chelonia mydas (Green sea turtle), 396 nucleotides. RefSeq lists it as uncharacterized. The transcript has 3 exons. The record is from RefSeq and is a predicted model, not a curated record. Lineage: Eukaryota; Metazoa; Chordata; Testudines; Cheloniidae.
UAAUUUUCCCGUGGUGCCAAGCCCGAAAUGCCCCUGUCAGGAAUCAGAGCCAGCACCAGAACCAGUCUCCAGGCAACCUGACUAGCACAGCUGGCCGGUAGUAAGCUGCCUCAUUGACUAUACUGCCUGAUUGGUAGGAAGAAUCAGCAGACCAGCUUUUAAGCCCAGCAGCAGCAGUUUAGUGGCCACUUGAAGCACUUGCCCAUGGCUGUGAUAGCUCCUGCCUCUGAUCCACCCCUGCUUUACUCCAGCCCCUGAUUGUUCUGUUUGGCCUGCAGGAGUACCAAGAAACCCCAGUCCUGGCCCAGGACCCCGCUAUGCUAAUUUGGACGGACGUGAAAACAAGCUGAUAAUCCUCUGAGGAGUCUAGGGCUGAAAACAUUGGAUGGGAAGUCA